CCUACGGGUGGCAGCAGUGGGGAAUAUUGGACAAUGGGGGCAACCCUGAUCCAGCCAUGCCGCGUGUGUGAAGAAGGCCCUCGGGUUGUAAAGCACUUUCAGUGAGGAAGAACGCCUGGUGGUUAAUACCCAUCAGGAAAGACAUCACUCACAGAAGAAGCACCGGCUAACUCCGUGCCAGCAGCCGCGGUAAUACGGAGGGUGCGAGCGUUAAUCGGAAUUACUGGGCGUAAAGCGCGCGUAGGUGGCUUGAUAAGCCGGUUGUGAAAGCCCCGGACUCAACCUGGGAACGGCAUCCGGAACUGUCAAGCUAGAGUGCAGGAGAGGAAGGUAGAAUUCCCGGUGUAGCGGUGAAAUGCGUAGAGAUCGGGAGGAAUACCAGUGGCGAAGGCGGCCUUCUGGACUGACACUGACACUGAGGUGCGAAAGCGUGGGUAGCAAACAGGAUUAGAUACCCGAGUAGUC
Molecule: ribosomal RNA, 465 nt
Filed under: Vreelandella stevensii
Lineage: Bacteria; Pseudomonadati; Pseudomonadota; Gammaproteobacteria; Oceanospirillales; Halomonadaceae
Description: partial 16S ribosomal RNA
Rfam family: Bacterial small subunit ribosomal RNA
Source: RNAcentral